AGUGAACGCUGGCGGUAGGCCUAACACAUGCAAGUCGAACGGCAGCACAGGAGAGCUUGCUCUCUAGGUGGCGAGUGGCGGACGGGUGAGGAAUACAUCGGAAUCUGCCCAGUCGUGGGGGAUAACGUAGGGAAACUUACGCUAAUACCGCAUACGACCUUCGGGUGAAAGAGGGGGAUCGCAAGACCUCUCGCGAGUGGAUGAGCCGAUGUCGGAUUAGCUAGUUAGCGGGGUAAUGGCCCACCAAGGCGACGAUCCGUAGCUGGUCUGAGAGGAUGAUCAGCCACACUGGAACUGAGACACGGUCCAGACUCCUACGGGAGGCAGCAGUGGGGAAUAUUGGACAAUGGGCGCAAGCCUGAUCCAGCCAUACCGCGUGGGUGAAGAAGGCCUUCGGGUUGUAAAGCCCUUUUGUUGGGAAAGAAAUCUUUCAGGCUAAUACCCUGGGAGGAUGACGGUACCCAAAGAAUAAGCACCGGCUAACUUCGG
RNAcentral lists this ribosomal RNA (489 nucleotides) under uncultured bacterium. Its description in RNAcentral is "partial 16S ribosomal RNA". It matches the Rfam family "Bacterial small subunit ribosomal RNA", at positions 29 to 506 of the family's 1533-position model. The record is from RNAcentral.